Molecule: long non-coding RNA, 583 nt
Organism: Mercurialis annua (annual mercury)
Lineage: Eukaryota; Viridiplantae; Streptophyta; Magnoliopsida; Malpighiales; Euphorbiaceae
Exons: 3
Source: RefSeq, a predicted model, not a curated record
GACCCCUUAAGUUGUAAACCCUAGCCCCCAUUAAUCUCCAAACCCUAAAAACGAAUUUCUUCACUCAAAGAACUUGAUUUCUUCUUUCUAACAAGUCCGGAUGCGAUUCAUUCCGCUAAGAAUAUGAUUUUACAUCCUACUCGCAAGAUCUACGCGAUUUCUACGUUGUGUUCUUCGUUGGAGGCUUGUGGAUUAAAUUAAAUUCGGUCCAGCCCCUUGAACCUUGGGUUAAUACAUUAUUUAUCUUAUUGAUCAUCAUCCUUAGACACGUCGACUGCUCGUGCUUCGGAGUCGAAACAAGUUUAGUUGCUUGCCAGGUUUUUCACGUGGAUUUGCAAGCAGUUUAUGAUUUGAAAGCUGGUCCACUCCGAUCUUUUGAUUCCUCGGAGGUUUUUAUGUUAUUUAAACUAGUUUCUGUUUUCAAACUCUUAGACCGCAGUAGAACUAGUUAUUUAUUUCAUUUGAUACUACACUUUGGGAUUGUCGAUAUAUUCGAUUAUUAUAUUUGGCAUGAUUACUCUGGAUUACGAUAUUGUUAUAUAUAAGGCAUGAUGUUGAACAUUUAAGAUAUUGAAGUUAUUUA